Molecule: RNA transcript, 2281 nt
Organism: Magnolia sinica
Lineage: Eukaryota; Viridiplantae; Streptophyta; Magnoliopsida; Magnoliales; Magnoliaceae
Exons: 17
Source: RefSeq, a predicted model, not a curated record
GUGCGGCGAACAAACUUUCCAUCCUAUAGAAAUAUCCGACCGCGAAAGGUCGUCCCAUUUCCGAUUUCGAACUCUCCCGCGGCUUUUUUUCUCUUUCACCUGCAAACUUACUUCGCCAAAACCCUAAACCCUCGAAUCUCUCUCUUUGUCCUUUGAUGCUUAAACCCUCGAAUCACCAGCUUCUCCAAACCUCUCAAAUGCCAUCCUUCCUCAAUCUCAAGUCCGUCCUCAAUCUCACCAAAUCCAUUUCCAUCCCCAAAUGUUCCCAAAUAUCCCAAACUCUCCGCGACUUCAGUUCUCCCAAUGCCAGACCCUACCAUUCCACGAAUCCCCGCCAUUGCGAAGAAUCAAAAGCCGAUCUCCAACACCCUGAAGUCUGGACUGGCUUCGAUCCCGUCACCAAAGAACUUGUAACGAGACAGAUUACCAACAAUGGCGAAGAUUUAGGCAGCAGAGAAGAAAACCCUAGCUCGGAAAAGCCCAUCGUGAAGAAACCCGUCUGGUCUGGUUACAAUUCCAAUUUGAGGUCAGGAGGGGGUGUGGGGCCCCCACUGAGGAGGACGGGGAAGGUCAAGGUGCAUUGGGUGUGCCAGGAGUGUGGAGCAUCAGACGGGCAGUGGUGGGGGACGUGCCCGUCUUGCAAGGCCACGGGUUCGUUGAAGCAAUUUGCGGACUCGGAGAGGGUCUCUGGGAGCAAUAAGACAAGGGUGUCGUGGCUGCCGCGACGUCCAGCUGAGAUGCAUCCGAGGAGACUGACAGAAGUGAAUAAGGGGAUAAACAAGUUGGAGUGGAGAAUUCCAUUGUUGGGAAUCUUUGGAAUGGAAGUUGCUAGGGUGCUUGGUGGUGGGCUUGUACCAGGCUCCUUGGUUUUAGUUGGCGGUGAUCCUGGCGUUGGCAAAAGUACCCUAUUAUUGCAGAUUGCUGCAAUUCUUGCCGAAGGACGUGAUUUUGAACCAGCUCCAGUAGUAUAUGUUUCAGGUGAAGAGAGUGUUGAGCAAAUUGCAAACAGAGCUGAUCGUAUGAGAAUUGGGACAAAUGACCUUUUCUUGUAUUCGAGUACAGAUGUUGAGGACAUAUUGGAAAAAGCUCAAGGGCUCUCUCCUCGAGCUUUGAUUGUGGAUUCUAUUCAGACUGUUUAUUUGAGAGGAUUGGAUGGAAGUGCUGGAAGUGUUUCACAGGUGAGAGAGUGCACCUCAGCCUUGUUGCGCUUUGCAAAGCAAACAAGUAUACCUGUGCUUUUGAUAGGACAUGUGACAAAAACUGGAGAUAUAGCAGGGCCUCGUGUCUUGGAGCACAUCGUGGAUGCUGUUUUAUAUAUGGAAGGUGAGAAGUACUCGUCUCAUCGUUUACUGCGAUCAGUGAAGAACCGUUUUGGGUCCACCGAUGAGCUUGGGGUAUUUGAAAUGUCACAAUCUGGACUGCAAGCUGUGUCAAAUCCUAGUGAGAUGUUCUUGAGUGAAAAUUACUCUGAUUCUGAGGUUUUGGCUGGACUUGCUGUUGCUGUAAUUAUUGAUGGGUCUCGAACUUUUCUUAUUGAGAUUCAGGCGUUGUGUUCAUCUGGCUCAAUAGAUUCAAGGCAUGUCAAUGGAGUCCCAAAAGGAAGAGCUGACAUGAUUAUUACUGUUCUUAUGAAGCAAGCUGGCCUGAAGCUCCAGAACAGUGCCAUUUUCUUGAAUGUUGUAAGUGGACUGGCUUUGACAGAGACUGGAGGGGAUCUUGCAAUAGCAGCUGCAAUUUGCAGCAGCUUCCUGGAGUUUCCCAUUCCCAAUGAUGUCGCAUUUAUUGGAGAGGUCGGGCUUGGUGGUGAGCUUCGCACGGUUCCCAGAAUGGACAAGAGGGUGAUUGCUGUAACUAAGUUGGGGUACAAGAAGUGUGUCAUUCCGAAAUCGGCAGAGAAAACUCUAACUUCUCUUGAUAUGGGGGAAACAAUGAUUGUCGGCUGCAACAAUCUGAAAGACGUAAUCAACAGAAUAUUUCGUGCAGACUGAGAUAUGGUGUUAUUUGCUCCCCUGAUGAUUAGUGCUGAUUACCCAUCCAAAGACUGGAGAUUGAGAAGAGGUAGGGACGAAGAUGCUGGCUUAAGUUGACGUGGGCUCUGCAUCUCUGCCCUCUAUUCAUGCCAAAAAUCAAGAAGUCGUGAUCAUAUCAUCAAGGAUACUUGCUGGAGCAUGGUCCAUCCAUGGGUGGCCCAACAGACCAAUGAUGGGGGGGGGGGGAGGGAACAGUAGUAUAUAUAAUCUCAGGUGGAGAAUCCCCUUUUAUUGUAUCAGACGGAGAUCAU